AGACCUCUCUCGGCCUUUUGGCUAAGAUCAAAUGUAGUAUCUGUUCUUAUCAGUUUAAUAUUUUUAUAUUCUACACUACCCAGAAUUGUUAUGAGAUGACAGAAUAGAAAUUGUGUAAAACAUCUCCAUCCCUA
Molecule: small nuclear RNA, 134 nt
Filed under: Pseudonaja textilis
Lineage: Eukaryota; Metazoa; Chordata; Lepidosauria; Squamata; Elapidae
Description: U2 spliceosomal RNA (ENSPTXG00000010675.1)
Rfam family: U2 spliceosomal RNA
About the family: U2 is a small nuclear RNA (snRNA) component of the spliceosome (involved in pre-mRNA splicing). Complementary binding between U2 snRNA (in an area lying towards the 5' end but 3' to hairpin I) and the branchpoint sequence (BPS) of the intron results the bulging out of an unpaired adenosine, on the BPS, which initiates a nucleophilic attack at the intronic 5' splice site, thus starting the first of two transesterification reactions that mediate splicing.
Source: Rfam by way of RNAcentral